This 949-nucleotide ribosomal RNA is filed under the name Speerschneidera euploca. RNAcentral describes it as "partial large subunit ribosomal RNA". The stretch from base 1 to 348 matches the Rfam family "Bacterial large subunit ribosomal RNA", at positions 926 to 1235 of the family's 2925-position model. The record is from RNAcentral. Lineage: Eukaryota; Fungi; Ascomycota; Lecanoromycetes; Leprocaulales; Leprocaulaceae.
AGUACAGAUUUUAUCAGUGAGUAUUUGUUCUCGGAAUGGCUUAGAUGAUUAUUAAAUAGUCCGACAUAUUACGAUAAGGUUGUAUGUCCAAAGGGAAACAGCCCAGAACAAGAGUAAUAAGGUUCCAAAAUUAUUUUUAAGUGAAAUAAAGGAAGUACAUUUCUAAAACAUCCAGGAAAUAGUGCUUAGAAGCGGCCAUUUUUUGAAGACCUCGUAACAGAGCACUGGCUUUAGUUAAAUUAUUGACGGAAAUGUGCAUUAAAGAUUUAACGGAUCUAAAUAAUAUACCGAUACCUUGUAUAUAUAUUUAUAUAUAACCUCCAGAACAACAAAAAAUAGGGACGCGGAUCAGGUUUAUCACGACCAGAUUUAAAACAAAUUAAUUGAUUAAUUCUAGUACGAACAGAUUCAAAAUAAUAGAUUCGGUUUAUUAUGAACAAAUUAAAGAAUUAGGUCUAGCAUGACCAAAUUAACAACCUGAAAAAAAAUGGUACUGGUUCAGAAAUUAAAUAUAUAUGGUAGCGGAACAUUGGGGAAAAAUUAGAUUAUUUGUUUUUAACAAAUACUAUUAUAUAACCCAAGAGAUAAUGCUGGCAUGAGUAACGAUAAAGGAUAAUAUCCUCGCCUAAAGCUUAUGGUAUUUAUUUAAAGUAACGGCCUCUAAGUUAUUAAUUCUAAUGGAUUAUACGAUGAGAAAAUCUUAUAACAGCUUACUUUUUAUAGAGUAUAAAACAUUUUUACAGGUGUUAUAGUAUUAGAUAGAAAACAAAAAGCGUGUUAGUUUAUUACUAAUAUACAAUUACAUGUAUUAUAAUGUCUGUUAAAGUGAAAAAUGUUCUGGAAAAACUUUAAGACAGAAAAAAAAAUUACUGUAAUUAGUAAAAAUUUUUUUUAGCAGUAAGCAAAUUUAUACUUAAACCGUACCUAAAUACUAACACAAGUAAGCAAG